AGUGAUAAGGCUGAGACAUCCUAUGCAUAAUCAGAGAAGCUAGGAUGCCAUGCAAACUGAAGAAGAGUUUCUAAAAGAAGGCUUGAAGGGGUCACUUGCAUCCAAUGGUGCAGAGGUGUCAGGGACUGAGGACUUAGAUGAAGCCACUGCAUUUAGCAAUUUAAGGAUCCUCUCCAAGAUCCCACAAACCUCGGGAUAAAAGGCACUGAAGUACGUGGAUGACGCCAUGUCAGCCAUCUUGCUACAAGCAUUCUCCUUGAAGUGCUCUAUCCAACAGGCUCAGGUGGACGAUAGAGCAAACCCCACUGACCACAAGCACGCAAAACCUGGCAGUCUGGGAGAGCAGUCACUUGCUGCUAGUUUCCCAGUAACUCAGCCAUCGACAGAAACCAUGUGAGAAUGAGGGCUGAAAUACCAAACUCCAGAAACUGUCAGAGCAAAUCUGAGCCAGUCUUCCUGGACCCAAGUUUCUACUGCAGUACAUGGGCAGGCACUGAAGGGGACAGAGAAAGUGGUGGAGAACUUCUGGCCAAAUCUCGGUUUAUGGCUCCUUCUGAGGUUUGGGUAAUAUUAUUUUGAUUAUUAACUAUUUAAGCC
Vicugna pacos (alpaca) is the source of this 597-nucleotide non-coding RNA. The record is from RefSeq and is a predicted model, not a curated record. NCBI's taxonomy places the organism in Eukaryota, Metazoa, Chordata, Mammalia, Artiodactyla, Camelidae.